CCCUUAGAUGUUCUGGGCCGCACGCGCGCUACACUGAUGCAUUCAACGAGUUCCUACCUUGGCCGAGAGGCCUGGGCAAUCUUUUGAACUUGCAUCGUGAUAGGGAUAGAUUAUUGCAAUUAUUAAUCUUGAACGAGGAAUUCCUAGUAAACGCAGAUCAUCAAUCUGCAUUGAUUACGUCCCUGCCCUUUGUACACACCGCCCGUCGCACCUACCGAUUGAAUGGUCCGGUGAAGCCUCGGGAUUGUGGUUAGUUUCCUUCAUUGGAAGUUAGCCGCGAGAACUUGUCUAAGCCUUAUCAUUUAGAGGAAGGUGAAGUCGUAACA
RNAcentral lists this ribosomal RNA (326 nucleotides) under uncultured eukaryote. RNAcentral's name for it is "partial 18S ribosomal RNA". It matches the Rfam family "Eukaryotic small subunit ribosomal RNA", at positions 1470 to 1796 of the family's 1831-position model. The record is from RNAcentral.